This is a long non-coding RNA of Vespa velutina, 2135 nucleotides long. RefSeq lists it as uncharacterized. Lineage: Eukaryota; Metazoa; Arthropoda; Insecta; Hymenoptera; Vespidae. The record is from RefSeq and is a predicted model, not a curated record. The transcript is spliced from 4 exons.
AGUGGAAGAAGCGUAAGAAAGAAAAAAGAAAGAAGGCAUAGAAAAAAAGAAAAGUAAGAGGAAGGAAGGAAACGACGAGAAAGCUGAGGAGAGGCAUCGAUAAAUCAAUGGAAUAUGAGUUUAUUCUCAGUAUCAUGAGUUCAUACGAUGCUCAUCCAUGCGGACAUUAUAUCCGAAUUAAUAAGAUGGAAUCGUUGCUAUUAGUGAAGAUGCAGCGAAUCUUGUAAUUAACGCUGUAAUUUCUGUGACUUGUGAAGUUCACUCAAACACUCCUCCACAUCAGUUCGUCUCGUUAUUCCAACGAAUAUGUUGGCUGGAUAGAACGAAAUCGGAAAGAGAGAACGACAGAGAGGCAAUGCUGGCAGUAUCAACGUCCACUACUAGCAAGUACCACCAUCGAAGCUAGGACUGCCAUUGAGAGGAAGUAGAGGAAGAGGUGGAGGAACAGCAGUAGGGUUGUUCCAAGCGUAGAGGGAUUCACUUUAUUGGAGAGUGUUGCCAUCGACAGCCUCGCCCUGUUGGCUGUAGGGGCUCAGAACUAAGCCGUGCGAACAAUGGCAGACCCCCAUGGCGGAUGGCGAGAGAAAGUAAAAAUUAACGAGAAUUCAAGCUCGGCCGGAGCCAUUGAAAAAUUGCCCGGCGUGGCCGCGCGGACCUAGCUGAGCUAUGAAGGAGGUGGCGUACGAGCUACGAGCCAGUAGCCCUUUUAGACUUGUCGACGGGCACAUUUUUUUACCUGCCUUCUCUUUACUUGCCUCAUAUUCGCGUUUUGGUUUAUUUUCAGCAUAAAUGACGAAACGGCGACAACUUCGUUGCAAUACUGUCAACCCUAUAGAAAAAAGAAGAAAAAAAAAAAAAAAAGAAAACAAAAUCUCAAGAAAUGAAAAUACGAAUCGUCUUCUUGCGUAAAUUGAUUAAUGAAGCUAUCGCCUAGUGAGAACAGAGUUCACAACAUCGUUCAUCAUCGAUGUACAUACACGUAAAGCAGAAUUCUUCGUCUGCACCAGAAAAGCGAACCAAUAAAACAUAACUGGAGAUUAUUGGACGAAGAGAAAAUGAUCGAUGAAUUCUAGGAUGUUGGAAAACUCCUUAUUAUUUUCCGGGGUAUCAAGAUCACCGCACGAAAAUGAACAUUAAUUGUGUCAGCGUGGGAUAACGUUUACGAGUAACAUCCCCAUCAAAUUUUUAAGAAAAUAGAUGUUUGAAAUAACCAAUGAUAACAAAUCUUCUUUUUUUUUAAUUUCAAUGUGAAAUCGAUCGUAAUAGGACCAGAAAGAAGGAUAGUUCUUUUUUUUUUUUUUUUUAUCAAAAAAGAAGGAAAUAAGUUCUUGAAGAAGUAAGGUAGAGGAACUUGUUUGGUUGUAUGUUGGUUCGUAACUCGAAAGGUAAGCCUGUCCGUAGGACUACUAGCACGUCCUCCCUUGGGAAUCCUGCGUAUCUGCUUCACGGCACGAGCAAACACGUCGAGAUGAAGGAAGUCUGGCUUCCAUUUCGCAAGACGCGCCGCAGCGAAGCGGAGUAAAUAUUGAUACAGAUCGAACAUCUAAUCGUUCCGGUCGCCCGUUUACCGACAUGCCAUCCAUACAUAUUCGCGAGGGGUGGUAUCGGGCUACCACGUACUAUGUACGUUUUGCAUGUAUACGUUUCCUCAACGGGUACAUGUUUAUCAGUAAGAGAGAGAGAGAGAGAGAGAGAGAGAGAGAGAGAGAGAGAGAGAGAGAGAGAGAGAGAGAGAGAGAAGAAUGGAUAUACGAAACAUGGAUUCGAAAGAAAUCAGUCUGAAAUUUAUGAUGCAAUAAUUUGUUCGUUGCAUAGUCUGCGCGACCCCUAAAGAUUUGCCAAUUAUAUCAAAUUAAUUAAAGUCGAUGAAGAAGAAGAAAGAGCAUAAAGAGCAAAAUUUCAUUUUGCGGCUCAUUGUAUUAUUUUUCCUCAUUCACGAUCGAAUCGAAUGAAAAAUAAAACAUUUAAUUCUAACGACGAUCAUCAACCGAAUGUAUGGAACAAUCGUGCUGCUUUUUAUCAGAUGGUAUGCUUAAACCAUGCAAGAUUCUUUCCCUCAAAUCUGUAACUUCGAUUUUACGAAUGAUGUGCGUACGAAAUAUAUCAAAAUGAAAACUAUUUUAUUCAUAGAUCAA